This 579-nucleotide ribosomal RNA is filed under the name uncultured delta proteobacterium. Its description in RNAcentral is "bacterial SSU rRNA". It matches the Rfam family "Bacterial small subunit ribosomal RNA", at positions 31 to 609 of the family's 1533-position model. Lineage: Bacteria; Deltaproteobacteria. The record is from RNAcentral.
AAACCUUGUGGCGUGCGCCNAACACAUGCAAGUCGAGCGAGAAAGGGACUUCGGUCCUGAGUAGAGCGGCGAACGGGUGAGUAACACGUGAGUAACGUACCUUCAGAUGGGGGAUAACCACUCGAAAGGGUGGCUAAUACCGCAUAAGACCACAGCGGCUUCGGUUGCAGAGGUCAAAGCCUUCGGGCGUCUGAAGAUCGGCUCGCGGCCCAUUAGGUAGUUGGUGGGGUAAUGGCCUACCAAGCCUUAGAUGGGUAGCUGGUCUGAGAGGACGAUCAGCCACACUGGGACUGAGACACGGCCCAGACUCCUACGGGAGGCAGCAGUGGGGAAUCUUGCGCAAUGGGCGAAAGCCUGACGCAGCAACGCCGCGUGUGUGAAGAAGGCUUUCGGGUCGUAAAGCACUGUCGGGAGGGAAGAGUGCCUGGGCUAGACCCAGGAGAGACGGUACCUCCCAUAGGAAGCACCGGCUAACUCCGUGCCACAGCCGNGGUAAUCCGAGGGUGCAAGCGUUAUUUNGANUAUUGGGCUUAAANGCCCCCCGGCGGCNUUGCAAGUUUGACGUAAAAUCCCGGGGCU